AUUGAACGCUGGCGGCAUGCUUUACACAUGCAAGUCGAACGGUAACAGGCCUUCGGGUGCUGACGAGUGGCGAACGGGUGAGUAAUGCAUCGGAACGUGCCCAGAGGUGGGGGAUAACGCGGCGAAAGCUGUGCUAAUACCGCAUGUGAUCUGAGGAUGAAAGCGGGGGACCAGGCAGCAAUGUUUGGCCUCGCGCCUUUGGAGCGGCCGAUGUCAGAUUAGGUAGUUGGUGGGGUAAAGGCCUACCAAGCCGACGAUCUGUAGCUGGUCUGAGAGGACGACCAGCCACACUGGGACUGAGACACGGCCCAGACUCCUACGGGAGGCAGCAGUGGGGAAUUUUGGACAAUGGGCGCAAGCCUGAUCCAGCAAUGCCGCGUGCGGGAAGAAGGCCUUCGGGUUGUAAACCGCUUUUGUACGGAACGAAAAGGCUCUGGCUAAUACCUGGGGCUGAUGACGGUACCGUAAGAAUAAGCACCGGCUAACUACGUG
RNAcentral lists this ribosomal RNA (492 nucleotides) under uncultured bacterium. RNAcentral describes it as "partial 16S ribosomal RNA". It matches the Rfam family "Bacterial small subunit ribosomal RNA", at positions 30 to 507 of the family's 1533-position model. The record is from RNAcentral.